RNAcentral lists this ribosomal RNA (279 nucleotides) under uncultured bacterium. RNAcentral describes it as "partial 16S ribosomal RNA". It matches the Rfam family "Bacterial small subunit ribosomal RNA", at positions 506 to 784 of the family's 1533-position model. The record is from RNAcentral.
UGCCAGCCGCCGCGGUAAUACAGAGGGUGCAAGCGUUAAUCAGAAUUACUGGGCGUAAAGGGCGCGUAGGUGGUUUGUUAAGUCAGAUGUGAAAGCCCCGGGCUUAACCUGGGAAUUGCACCUGAUACUGGCAAGCUAGAGUGCAGUAGAGGGAAGUGGAAUUUCCGGUGUAGCGGUGAAAUGCGUAGAUAUCGGAAGGAACACCAGUGGCGAAGGCGACUUCCUGGGCCAAUACUGACGCUGAGGCGCGAAAGCGUGGGUAGCAAACAGGAUUAGAUA